UUUUCUUUCCUUUCUCCUAUCUCCCGAACUCUCUAGACUCUCUUUUUCCUCCCCUUAUCUCUCUCUCUCUCUCUCUCUCUCUCUUACACACACACACACACACACACACACCUCCCUCGUUCUCUCUCUUGAUCGCCUUCAAUUCCUCAGUCUCUUUCUUCUGCUCUCUUAUUUCUUUCAACUCUAUCUUCUCUCUUAUUCCUUAGAUCUCUCUCUCUCUCUCUCUCUCUCUCUCUCUCUCUCUCUCUCACACACACACACACACACACACACACGCACAGCCCUCAUCUCUCCUCUCUCUCUCUUUUACCUAUUUUAUAUAUUUCUUUGAUUUGCUCUUUCUCUUUUAUCUCAGUUCUCAACCCUCUUUGAUAUCUAUAUCUCUCUUUCUCUCAGCUCUCAGCCUUUUUUGAUGUCUAUGUCUCUCUUUCUCUCAACUCUCAGCCUUUUUGGAUGUCUCUGUCUCUCUUUCUCUUAGCUCUCAGCCCUCUCUCACCAUCGCAAGCCCUUAGGUCUAGCAAACCUCGCAAAGGGUAGAGAGCUUCUAGCUCUUUGCUAGAUCCUUGAGCCUAAACCACUAAAGAUUGACGAUUCCAAGGAUUGUUUGGAUCGUUGGCUAAGCAAGGGGAUAUUGCGUAGAGAGGCGGGCUCUAGCUUAUUUGAAGGAAUAACCGAACGAGGGUACAUCUUUUGAAGAGGCGGGCUCUAGCCUACUGAAGGAGUGUGUAAACGGUAUUGUUCUGCCUAGUAAAGGAACUCAAUUUAGUAAUCCUUCAGUGGUUUGUCAGAGGCGAGGACGUAGGCUGGGUAUAAGCCGAACCUCGUAAAAAUUCCGGUCUUACUCUCUCUUUCCUUACUCUCUUUAUUUUCAGUACAUAUACAAUUGCGUGGAUGUUUUAAAUAUAAAAAUCAUACAAACUACUUAAUUUUGAAGUUAAAUAAACUUAAGGUUUAAUUUUGA
This is a long non-coding RNA of Malania oleifera, 961 nucleotides long. RefSeq lists it as uncharacterized. NCBI's taxonomy places the organism in Eukaryota, Viridiplantae, Streptophyta, Magnoliopsida, Santalales, Ximeniaceae. The record is from RefSeq and is a predicted model, not a curated record. The transcript has 3 exons.